This 225-nucleotide long non-coding RNA is filed under the name Elaeis guineensis (African oil palm). Its description in RNAcentral is "long non-coding RNA (EGUI_LNC053905)". Lineage: Eukaryota; Viridiplantae; Streptophyta; Magnoliopsida; Arecales; Arecaceae. The record is from RNAcentral.
UUGAUCCAAAAUGGUGAUCCUGUUGAGCUAGAUGAGAAUAAUGAGGAUCCGAUCACUUACAUGAAUGUUAUGUAGAGAUCCGACUCAAAAAAAUAAUUUGAAGCCAUGAAAUCUGAGAUGGAGUCCAUGGAGAUCAUUAGUAUAUGAACAAUAGUUGAUCCACCCGAAGGGAUAAAGGAUGUAGAUGGAUUUUCAAAAAAAAAAGAGGUACAGAAGGGAUGGUGG